Molecule: ribosomal RNA, 1033 nt
Filed under: Rhizophagus intraradices
Lineage: Eukaryota; Fungi; Glomeromycota; Glomeromycetes; Glomerales; Glomeraceae
Description: partial large subunit ribosomal RNA
Rfam family: Bacterial large subunit ribosomal RNA
Source: RNAcentral
CCGUUGCAAGGGACUCCGAAGAGCUGUGGCAAGGGGUGAAAAGCCAAUCUAACCUGGAGAUAGCUGGUCUUCUGCGAAACCCGUUUUAGCGGGUCGCCCAUUUAUUGAAAUUAAAUUCGUUACUAGACGGUACGGCACUGGAAGCCACGCAGCUUUUGCUGCAUAAUCGGGGGGCUGUCAUGGCUCUAUCGAUGGCUUCUAACCCCGGAAAUGUAUAGUAUACAAUGAUGGGCAAUCAGACGUAUCGUGAUAAGGCGAUUCGUCAAAAGGGCAACAGCCCAGAACAGGUGUGAAGGUCCCUAACAAGCUACUGAGUGAACACAAGGCAGUCCUCUCCAGUGUCUCUCCACAAAGUGGGCUUGGAAGCAGCCACCUUUUAGCGAUAGCGUAACAGCUCAGUGGUCUGAGCCUCCCUGUAAAAAGGGUAUAUUGCCUGGUGAGGGCGCCAAAAAUGUAACGGGUCUAUAGUAGUUGUCUCUCUGUUCCAGCUUUGGAUAUGGAGGGAGUGGCAGUUUCUUUACUGUCUCACCGAAACCCUGUCCUAGAUGUAAAAUUCUAGGGGUAGCAGAAUACCCAGCAAAUGGAAUGAAGCUUGCUCAUUGAGCCGGUGGACAUAGCUGGGCUAAGAAUGCUGACAUGAGUAGCCUAAAAGGAGGGUAAUUCCCUCUUCGCCGAAAGCAGAAGGGUUUCAUUUGUAAGGUCUAUACCUAGAUGAUUAAAGCAGCGGCCUCUAAGGUUCAGAGUAACAAAUUAGUUCCGAUGAGUAACUCUUCUAUAGGGCAGUAACCUUCCUUAUAAGUUUACCUUCAAGUAAUUAGAGGUAUACUUCAAAGAGUAAGGUUCGGGAAAGAGCCCUACAGAAUCAAUCUUAAAACCGUACCCUAAACCGACACAGGUCUGCAAGUAGAGCAUACUAAGGCGUAGAGAUAAUCGUCUUGAAGGAACUCGGCAAAAUGACCCCGUAACUUCGGGAGAAGGGGUGCCACUAAUAAGUGGCGGCACUAAACAGGGGGGCGCGACUGUUUACUUAAAA